This 39-nucleotide transfer RNA is filed under the name Gerrhonotus infernalis. RNAcentral describes it as "partial tRNA-Leu". The record is from RNAcentral. Lineage: Eukaryota; Metazoa; Chordata; Lepidosauria; Squamata; Anguidae.
CUUUUAAAGGAUAAUAGCUAUCCACUGGCUUUAGGCGUC